GAUGAACGCUAGCUACAGGCUUAACACAUGCAAGUCGAGGGGCAGCAUGGUCUUAGCUUGCUAAGGCCGAUGGCGACCGGCGCACGGGUGAGUAACACGUAUCCAACCUGCCGUCUACUCUUGGACAGCCUUCUGAAAGGAAGAUUAAUACAAGAUGGCAUCAUGAGUUCACAUGUUCACAUGAUUAACGGUAUUCCGGUAGACGAUGGGGAUGCGUUCCAUUAGAUAGUAGGCGGGGUAACGGCCCACCUAGUCUUCGAUGGAUAGGGGUUCUGAGAGGAAGGUCCCCCACAUUGGAACUGAGACACGGUCCAAACUCCUACGGGAGGCAGCAGUGAGGAAUAUUGAUCAAUGGGCGAGAGCCUGAACCAGCCAAGUAGCGUGAAGGAUGACUGCCCUAUGGGUUGUAAACUUCUUUUAUAAAGGAAUAAAGUCGGGUAUGUAUACCCGUUUGCAUGUACUUUAUGAAUAAGGAGCGGCUAACUCCGUG
This 490-nucleotide ribosomal RNA is filed under the name uncultured bacterium. RNAcentral describes it as "partial 16S ribosomal RNA". It matches the Rfam family "Bacterial small subunit ribosomal RNA", at positions 28 to 507 of the family's 1533-position model. The record is from RNAcentral.